UCUGCUUUCAUUAUAUUACUCCUGCAGUGAACACAAUAAUAUAUAACUAAACGUUAUGAAAAUAUAAAAUAAAAUAAUUUUUCAUUGAAAGUACACAUUCUGAUAUAAUAUGCAAUAUUAAAAAUGUAUGAGAAUAUUAUAUUGAUUCUUAAAAUACAAUAAAGUUCUAUUUCGUACCUAAGUAGUUUAAAACGUUUGUAGAAAUGUUCAGUUAUUCGAUAAUAUGGUUGAAAUAAAGUUUUGAUAUAAUUCAACUACCUACCGAUAAAAGUUAUUAUAGUAAUAUUUAUUUUAUUUAAUUUUCAUUUUACCAAUGGGCAAUGUUGGAAAAAGAGUUAAUAUUUUUGACGGGCGUGUUACUGCUAUAAAUGAGAAGUUGGGAAUGUAGGAUAUAAUAUAGAGUUGUUUAAUUUAUAUCUAUAGGUACAUAACGGUAAAUUAUUGUUGAUGACGAAAUAACAAUUCUGAGUUAAGUUCGGUUAAAUGAAAUAAUGUUUGACUGGGGAGAGUCCAAUUUCCUUUUAGAAAAUGUGCUAUCAUUGAAAAUGUGAG
Molecule: non-coding RNA, 552 nt
Organism: Cinara cedri
Lineage: Eukaryota; Metazoa; Arthropoda; Insecta; Hemiptera; Aphididae
Source: the annotation of a GenBank genome assembly